UUCUUUCUUGCAUUUUAUAAACAGUUAACAAUUUGCAUACAUCCAGCAGUGAUAAUAUGCCUUUGCAUUUAAAUUUUAAUUAUUCUGCAAGUCUACCAGGAUGUCACUUGUUUAAUGGCUCACUGAGCUUAGAGGUCACCCAGUCCAAGUCUCCUCUACGGGUGUUUUUAUCCAAGUUAAAAGCUUCUACUAACAAGAGCACAGCAAACAUACCGAUGUGAGACCUAUGCAGUAAUACAUAUGAAUUAGAAUUUAGAGAAACUUGGAGAACAGGGGAUUACGUUUUCAGAGUGUUUCUUUUUUAAUGGUUAUUUGACUGACUGGGAUCAUAAAUUUUUAUUCUCUGCUGCUCAGAACACAGGCUGCCAUUUACACGUGCAGUGAGUAUAAGGCACUACUGAACUAAAAAAGGAAGCAUUUUACUCCUUGAUUAUAAAGCGGCAAGUGGCUUCAGCUUGAAGCUGGAUGAUGAUGGAUCAUACUACUUCCAUUCAGAAUUGGAAAAGACAAAUCAAGCUUCCUGAAAGUGUAGAUGAUAGUAUAGCAAUCUAACUCAAGACCCGACCUUCAGCUAACUGCAUGGGAAUCUCUGUUGUAUUAAUUUACAUAUCAUUGUAAAUUCUAACUGGAGUCACAGAAUCACAGACUGGUUUGGGUUGUAAGGGACCUUAAAGAUCAUCUAGUUCCAAGCCCCUGCCACGGGCAGGGACACCUUCCACUAGACCAGGUUGCUCCAAGCCCCGUCCAACCUGGCCUUGAACACUGUCAGGGAUGGGGCAGCCACAGCUUCUCUGGGCAAUCUGUGCCAGCGCCUCACCACCCUCACAGUAAAGAAUUUCUUUCUAGUAUCUAAUCUAAAUUUCCCCUCUGCCAGUUUUAAAGCCAUUCCCCUUUGCCCUGUCACUACAUGCCCUGGUAAAUUGUUCAAUGCUCUCAAAAUCUUUGAAAACAGUGGUGGUUACAUACCAGGAUUUCUUUCUAUCUGUCUCCCCAUGCCCAAGAACAGUGACCUUCAGAUUACUUGUAAUGAGAACAGCACGUAGCAUACCAGAUCAGAUUAAUAGUUGUGACAAACUGAAAACUACAGUGAUUUCCACUCAGUUAUAGCAAUGUAAACUUGAGAAUUUGUCCAAUUACUGUUAAACCUUGUCAUAGCAGUAUUUAAAACAAAUGUAAAACCUCAUAAAGAGCAAUGCAGAAGUAACCACUUUUAUUUCACUGUAUUUUAAUACUCACUGAAGAUAUGUAAACAGUGUUUAAACCCAGCUGAAGUAGGUGCUCCAGAAUUUACAUUUUUGAGUUCAGUAGUGGUACCUUAGGACAAGCCUACCCAAGUUCUGCACAAGUUUAAUUCAGAUCUAGCUGUGGAAUUAGAAGCCAAGCCAGUAACAGGAAUACCAACUGGUUUGACUUUUUCCAGUUGAUUGGUACAUAACUAGCUGUUGCUUCAGUGUAAAAGCAUGACCCGUAAACCAUAUAUAUCCUGUGAAAAUGGGACAAACUCUGUGUGUGUAUAAGCUGUAGGUUUAUGUCUUUCGAGGUGACUGGUGGUUUUUAGGCAUCCUAAUUUUUUUGCAUGUCCAGCUUGCACUAGUUUUCAAAGGACCUGGUUUUU
Strigops habroptila (Kakapo) is the source of this 1615-nucleotide long non-coding RNA. NCBI's taxonomy places the organism in Eukaryota, Metazoa, Chordata, Aves, Psittaciformes, Psittacidae. The record is from Ensembl.